This 492-nucleotide ribosomal RNA is filed under the name uncultured bacterium. Its description in RNAcentral is "partial 16S ribosomal RNA". It matches the Rfam family "Bacterial small subunit ribosomal RNA", at positions 29 to 507 of the family's 1533-position model. The record is from RNAcentral.
AGUGAACGCUGGCGGUAGGCCUAACACAUGCAAGUCGAACGGCAGCACAGUAAGAGCUUGCUCUUACGGGUGGCGAGUGGCGGACGGGUGAGGAAUACAUCGGAAUCUACUUUUUCGUGGGGGUUAACGUAGGGAAACUUACGCUAAUACCGCAUACGACCUACGGGUGAAAGCAGGGGAUCUUCGGACCUUGCGCGAUUGAAUGAGCCGCUGCCGGAGUAGCUAGUUGGCGGGGUAAAGGCCCAGUCAGGCGACGAUGCGUAGCUGGUCGGAGAGGAUGAUCGGCGGCAUUGGAAGUGAGACACGGUCCAGAGUCCUACGGGAGGCAGCAGUGGGGAAUAUUGGACAAAGGGCGCAAGCCUGAUCCAGCCAUACCGCGUGGGAGGAGAAGGCCUUCGGGUUGUAAAGCCCUUUUGUUGGGAAAGAAAAGCAGCAGGUUAAUACCCCGCUGUUCUGACGGUACCCAAAGAAUAAGCACCGGCUAACUUCGUG